Apodemus sylvaticus (European woodmouse) is the source of this 134-nucleotide small nucleolar RNA. RefSeq annotates it as small nucleolar RNA SNORA17. The transcript has a single exon. NCBI's taxonomy places the organism in Eukaryota, Metazoa, Chordata, Mammalia, Rodentia, Muridae. The record is from RefSeq and is a predicted model, not a curated record.
CCUACCCUAGAAGUGUUGUAGGCUUGGCUGCUGUGUCACAUGUGUGUCAGCAGGUGGCAGAGAGGAGAGAGGCUAUGCCCAUGCUCACUCAGUGUUCUGACUAUGGACAUCUGAAGGAUUAGAAGCCUAACACU